GCUAGAUGGAUGCUUUUACAUGUCAAUCGAACGGCAGCGCGAGAAAAGCUUGCUUUUCUUGGCGGCGAGUGGCCAACGGGUGAAUAUUUUAUCGCAACGUACCCAGUAGGGGGGGAUAACUGGCCGAAAGGUCUCUAAUACCGCAUACCCCCUACGGGGGAAAGGGGGGGAUCUUCAGACCUCUCUCUAUUGGAGCGGCCUAUAUCAUAUUAUCUUUUUGGUGAGGUAAGGGCUCACCAGGGCCACUAUCUGUAUCUGGUUUGAGAAGACCACCCCCCACUCUGGGACUGACACACGGCCCACACUCCUACGGGAGGCAGCUGUGGGGAAUUUUGGACAAUGGGGGCAACCCUGAUCCACCCCUCCCGCGUGUGCUAUGAGCGCCUUCGGGUUGUAAAGCUCUUUUGGCGGGGAAGAAAAGGCGCCAGAUAAUACCUGGCGCCUCUCACGGUACCUGCAAAAUAAACACCGGCUAACUACGUGCCAACAGCCGCGGUAAUACGUAGGGUGCAAGUGAUUAUCAGAUUUACUGGGCGUAAAGCGUGCGCACGCUGUUCAGAAGAAAUAUGUGAACUCCCAGAGCUUAUCUGUGGAACUGCAUUUUUCACUCCCGAGCUAGAGUAUGUCAGGGGGGGGGUAGAUUUCCACGUGUAGCAGUGAAAUGCGUAGAGAUGUGGAAGAAUACCUAUGGGAAAGGCCGCCCCUCUGGGAUACUACUGACUCUCAUGCACGAGAGAGUGGGGAGCAAACAGGAUUAGAUACCCGUGGUACGUCCACCGCCCUAAACGAUGUCACAUAGAUGUUGGGGCGUUCGGGCGUUAGUAGAGCAGAUAACGCGUGAAGUUGACCCCCCGGGGAGUACGGUCGCAAGAUUAAAACUCAAAGGAAUUGACGGGGACCCGCACAAGAGGUGGAUGAUGUGGAUUAUUUUGAUGCAACGCGAAAAACCUUACCUACCCCUGACAUGUGUGGAAUGCCGAAGAGAUUUGGCAGUGUUCGCAAGAGAACCGGAACACAGGUGUUGCAUGGCGGUGGUCAGAUCGUGUGUUGAGAUGUUGGGUUAAGUCCCGCAACGAGAGCAACCCUUGUCUUUAGUUGUUAUGAAAGGGCACUCUAAUGAGACAGCCGGUGACAAACCGGAGGAAGGUGGGGAGGAGGUCAAGUCCCCAUGGCCCUUAUGGGUAGGGCUUCACACGUCAUACAAUGGUCGGGACAGAGGGUCGCCAACCCCGAGGGGGAGCCAAUCCCAGAAACCCGAUCGUAGUCCGGAUGGUAGGAGGCAACUAGUCUGCAUGAAGUAGGAAUCGCUAGUAAUUGCGGAUCAGCAAGCAGCGGGAAUACGUU
Molecule: ribosomal RNA, 1344 nt
Filed under: uncultured bacterium
Lineage: Bacteria
Description: partial 16S ribosomal RNA
Rfam family: Bacterial small subunit ribosomal RNA
Source: RNAcentral